GACGAACGCUGGCGGCGUGCUUAACACAUGCAAGUCGAACGGAAAGGCCUGCUUUCCCUUGUGGAUUGCGGGUACUCGAGUGGCGAACGGGUGAGUAACACGUGAGUGAUCUGCCCCCAACUUGGGUUUAAGCCUGGGAAACUGGGUCUAAUUCCCGAUAGGACUGCAGGGUGGUGCCUGUGGUGGAAAACGAUUUUCUAGUGGUUGGGGAUGAGCUCGCGGCCUAUCAGCUUGUUGGUGGGGUAAUGGCCUACCAAGGCGGCGACGGGUAGCCGGCCUGAGAGGGUGGACGGCCACAUUGGGACUGAGAUACGGCCCAGACUCCUACGGGAGGCAGCAGUGGGGAAUAUUGCACAAUGGGCGGAAGCCUGAUGCAGCGACGCCGCGUGGGGGAUGACGGCCUUCGGGUUGUAAACUCCUUUCGACCGCGAGGAAGCCACCUGGUUGGAAGGGUGGUGACGGUAGUGGUAGAAGAAGCACCGGCUAACUACAUG
This 494-nucleotide ribosomal RNA is filed under the name uncultured bacterium. RNAcentral describes it as "partial 16S ribosomal RNA". It matches the Rfam family "Bacterial small subunit ribosomal RNA", at positions 28 to 507 of the family's 1533-position model. The record is from RNAcentral.